This 408-nucleotide ribosomal RNA is filed under the name Segestrioides tofo. Its description in RNAcentral is "partial 16S ribosomal RNA". It matches the Rfam family "Bacterial large subunit ribosomal RNA", at positions 1860 to 2600 of the family's 2925-position model. The record is from RNAcentral. Lineage: Eukaryota; Metazoa; Arthropoda; Arachnida; Araneae; Diguetidae.
UGCUCCAUGAUCUAAAUAGCCGCAGUAACUUAACUGUGCUAAGGUAGCAUAAUCAUUAGCCUUCUAAUUAAAGGAUAGAAUGAAAGGCAACACGAAUAGAAAAAUGUCUCAUAUACUUAUAACGAAACUUACAAAAAAGUAAAAAGGCUUAUAUAACCCGGAAGGACGACAAGACCCUAUCAAACUUCAAAUUAAAAAUUAUGCUGGGGCGGCACACCAAUAAAAACUUUAAUACCUAACCAACAGACCUUAUAAAAUUAUAACAGAAAUAAGUUACUGUAGGGAUAACAGCGCAAUAUACUCUAAAAGCUCAUAUUUAAGAGUAAGAUUACGACCUCGAUGUUGAAUAGCUACCUAAAGGGUGCAAAAGCUCAGAAAGGAGGUCUGUUCGACCAUUAAAAAGCUACA